This 434-nucleotide ribosomal RNA is filed under the name uncultured bacterium. RNAcentral's name for it is "bacterial SSU rRNA". It matches the Rfam family "Bacterial small subunit ribosomal RNA", at positions 29 to 507 of the family's 1533-position model. The record is from RNAcentral.
AACGAACGCUGGCGGCAUGCCUAACACAUGCAAGUCGAACGAAGCCUUCGGGCUUAGUGGCGCACGGGUGCGUAACGCGUGGGAAUCUGCCCUUGGGUUCGGAAUAACAGUUAGAAAUGACUGCUAAUACCGGAUGAUGUCUUCGGACCAAAGAUUUAUCGCCCAAGGAUGAGCCCGCGUAGGAUUAGGUAGUUGGUGGGGUAAUGGCCCACCAAGCCGACGAUCCUUAGCUGGUCUGAGAGGAUGAUCAGCCACACUGGGACUGAGACACGGCCCAGACUCCUACGGGAGGCAGCAGUGGGGGAAUAUUGGACAAUGGGCGAAAGCCUGAUCCAGCAAUGCCGCGUGAGUGAUGAAGGCCUUAGGGUUGUAAAGCUCUUUUACCAGGGAUGAUAAUGACAGUACCUGGAGAAUAAGCUCCGGCUAACUCCGUG